UGGGGAAUUUUGGACAAUGGGCGAAAGCCUGAUCCAGCAAUGCCGCGUGUGUGAAGAAGGCCUUCGGGUUGUAAAGCACUUUUGUCCGGAAAGAAAUCCUUGGCUCUAAUACAGUCGGGGGAUGACGGUACCGGAAGAAUAAGCACCGGCUAACUACGUGCCAGCAGCCGCGGUAAUACGUAGGGUGCAAGCGUUAAUCGGAAUUACUGGGCGUAAAGCGUGCGCAGGCGGUUUGCUAAGACCGAUGUGAAAUCCCCGGGCUCAACCUGGGAACUGCAUUGGUGACUGGCAGGCUAGAGUAUGGCAGAGGGGGGUAGAAUUCCACGUGUAGCAGUGAAAUGCGUAGAGAUGUGGAGGAAUACCGAUGGCGAAGGCAGCCCCCUGGGCCAAUACUGACGCUCAUGCACGAAAGCGUGGGGAGCAAACAGGAUUAGAUACCCUGGUAGUCCACGCCCUAAAACGAUGUCAACUAGUUGUUGGGGAUUCAUUUCCUUAGUAACGUAGCUAACGCAUGAAGUUGACCGCCUGGGGAGUACGGUCGCAAGAUUAAAACUCAAAGGAAUUGACGGGGUCAUAGCUGUUUCCU
RNAcentral lists this ribosomal RNA (586 nucleotides) under uncultured bacterium. RNAcentral describes it as "partial 16S ribosomal RNA". It matches the Rfam family "Bacterial small subunit ribosomal RNA", at positions 355 to 1375 of the family's 1533-position model. The record is from RNAcentral.